Molecule: transfer RNA, 75 nt
Filed under: Streptomyces griseorubiginosus
Lineage: Bacteria; Bacillati; Actinomycetota; Actinomycetes; Kitasatosporales; Streptomycetaceae
Description: tRNA-Arg
Source: RNAcentral
GCCUGUUCCGGGGAGCGGGUCGCGCUGGCGCUGCGGCCGCUGGGCGGGCGGUUCCCGCAGCCGCCGGACGGGUUC